Molecule: small nucleolar RNA, 96 nt
Filed under: Phaseolus vulgaris (common bean)
Lineage: Eukaryota; Viridiplantae; Streptophyta; Magnoliopsida; Fabales; Fabaceae
Description: snoRNA snoZ157
Rfam family: Small nucleolar RNA Z157/R69/R10
About the family: Z157, R69 and R10 are members of the C/D class of snoRNA which contain the C (UGAUGA) and D (CUGA) box motifs. Most of the members of the box C/D family function in directing site-specific 2'-O-methylation of substrate RNAs.
Source: Rfam by way of RNAcentral
CUUUGUGCUGUGACGAGAGAAUCGUGGACUAGAGUUUCUGAUUUGAGGAUUUACUCAGAAGUUGAUUAUGAAACCCUUGGCUGUCCGAGCACACCA